Molecule: non-coding RNA, 117 nt
Organism: Emydomyces testavorans
Lineage: Eukaryota; Fungi; Ascomycota; Eurotiomycetes; Onygenales; Nannizziopsiaceae
Source: the annotation of a GenBank genome assembly
AGACCAGUGGCGCAGUGGUUAGCGUUGUCCACUUAUGUGUCUCCUGCCAUAAGUUUACUUUCGUGGCACGAUACUCAUGCCAUGGACGGGUCCCGGGUUCGAAUCCCGGUUGGUCUA